GAUGAAGAACGUAGCGAAAUGCGAUACUUGGUGUGAAUCGCAGAAUCCCGUGAACCAUCGAGUCUUUGAACGCAAGUUGCGCCCGAAGCCAUUAGGCCGAGGGCACGCCUGCCUGGGCGUCACACGUCGUUGCCCCCCCAUCUACUCCUUCGGGAUUGCGGGGGGCGGAUGAUGGCCUCCCGUGCGCCUCGUCGCGCGGUUGGCAUAAAUGCCAAGUCCUCGGCGACGCACGCCACGACAAUCGGUGGUUGCGAAACCUCGGUUGCCCGUCGUGUGCGGUCGUCGCGCAUCGAGGGCUCGAAAAAAUUGCCGGGCUCCGGCUCGACUUUCAACGCGACCCCAGGUCAGGCGGGGUUACCCGCUGAAUUUAAGCAUAUCAAUAAGCGGAGGA
This 391-nucleotide unclassified non-coding RNA is filed under the name soil metagenome. RNAcentral's name for it is "partial contains 5.8S ribosomal RNA, internal transcribed spacer 2, and large subunit ribosomal RNA". The stretch from base 1 to 122 matches the Rfam family "5.8S ribosomal RNA", at positions 35 to 154 of the family's 154-position model. The record is from RNAcentral.